This 1501-nucleotide long non-coding RNA is filed under the name Equus asinus (donkey). RNAcentral's name for it is "lncRNA (ENSEASG00005033119.1)". The record is from RNAcentral. Lineage: Eukaryota; Metazoa; Chordata; Mammalia; Perissodactyla; Equidae.
CCUUACGAAAGUACACUUCCACUUCCUCUCUCCCUGAUUUUGGACAUUGUUGUUACACGUUUUAUUUUAGUUGGCAUUUCCAUGCUUGUGAAUGAGAUCAAGCAUUUUUUCACAUGCUUAUUGGUCAUUUGGAUUUUCUCUGCUGUGAAGUUCCUGUUCAAAGCAUUUUGCUCAUUUUCUCUUGGAUUGUCUCUUAAUUGCUUUGUAGUAGUUCUUUAGAUAUUCUAAAUACGACUCUUUUGUCACCUAUAUGUACCAGAAAUAUCUUCUCACAUUUUGUGGCUUGCCAUUUAGUCCUCUUUAUGGUGUCUUUUCAUGAACAAGAAUUCUUAAUUUUAAUAUAAACAAAGGCAUCAAUGUUUUUUUUCUUUACGAUAGAUGUUUUUUGUCUCUUGUUUAAGAAAUCUUCCCUAUCUUGAAAUUAUGAUGUAUUUUCUUAUCUGACCCUACAGGAGUUUUAGAGUGUGAUUUUACCUGAAAGUCUCUAAUUCACCUGGAGUGAAUUUUGUUUAUGGUGUGAGGUGGGGAUCCAAUCUCUUUUUGCUCCAGCACCAUUUUUUUAAAUUUUUAUUUUUUUAAGAUUUUACUUUUUCUUUUUCCUUGUUCUCCCCAAAGCCCCCUGGUACAUAGUUGCAUAUUUUUAGUUGUGAGUCCUUCUAGCUGUGGCAUAUGGGAUGCCGCCUCAGCAUGGCUUGAUGAGCGGUGCCAUGUCUGAGCCCUGGAUCCGAACCAGUGAAACCCCAGGCUGCCGAAGUGAUUUAACCACUCUGCCAUGGGGCCGGCCCCCAUUUAUUAUUAUUUUUUAAAGUCCUUUCCCCACGGUUUUGCAGUGACCUCUCUCUCAAAGCAGGUAUCCAUACACGUGUGGGUCUGCUCCCAGGCUCUGUGUUCUGCUCAGUGCUCUCUGUCUAUCCUUGCACCAAAUCAUAAUGUCUUAACUAUGGAAACUUCACAGUUGGUCUUAAGAUUUUUUUUCCUUUUUUCUCCCAAAGCCCUCUGGUACAUUGUUGUGUAUUUUUUAGUUGUGGGUCCUUCUAGUUGCAGCAUGUGGGAUGCCGCCUCAGCAUGGCUUGGUGAGCAGUGCCAUGUCCGCGCCCAGGACUCGAACUGGCAAAACCCUGGGCCGCCGAAGCGGAGGGCGUGAAUUAACCACUCGGCCACGGGCCGGCCCCCAAAGAUGCCUCCACAGCACAGCUUGAUGAGCAGUGUGUAGGUCCGCACCCAGGAUCCAAACUGGUGAACCCCUAGCCGCCAAAGCAGGGUGUGAGAACUUAACCACUAUACUGCCCGGCCGGCCCCAAAAGCAUGCACGUUCAACAAGCAUUUAUUGAGCACCUACUGUGUGCCACGCCCUGUGCUAAUCAUGCAGGACCGACAUGUAGUUUGAGGGUCCCACCUGUCCUUCAAGAUGCCUCCUCCUGGAAGCCCUCCCUGCCCACUUCGCUCUCUUAUCAGAGAAUUCCGGAGGCCUGAGAAGCUGCAGCUUAGCCUUGGUGAGCUG